This 208-nucleotide ribosomal RNA is filed under the name uncultured bacterium. RNAcentral describes it as "partial 16S ribosomal RNA". It matches the Rfam family "Bacterial small subunit ribosomal RNA", at positions 568 to 775 of the family's 1533-position model. The record is from RNAcentral.
CGCGUAGGCGGUUUAACAAGUCAGGUGUGAAAGCCCCGAGCUUAACUCGGGAACUGCGCUUGAUACUGUUAUUCUUGAAUUCGGGAGAGGUGAGUGGAAUUCCCAGUGUAGAGGUGAAAUUCGUAGAUAUUGGGAGGAACACCAGUGGCGAAGGCGGCUCACUGGACCGACAUUGACGCUGAGGCGCGAAAGCGUGGGGAUCAAACAG